UGGGGAAUAUUGCACAAUGGGCGCAAGCCUGAUGCAGCCAUGCCGCGUGUGUGAAGAAGGCCUUCGGGUUGUAAAGCACUUUCAGCGAGGAGGAAGGUGGUGAAGCUUAAUACGUCAUCAAUUGACGUUACUCGCAGAAGAAGCACCGGCUAACUCCGUGCCAGCAGCCGCGGUAAUACGGAGGGUGCAAGCGUUAAUCGGAAUUACUGGGCGUAAAGCGCACGCAGGCGGUUUGUUAAGUCAGAUGUGAAAUCCCCGGGCUCAACCUGGGAACUGCAUUUGAAACUGGCAAGCUAGAGUCUCGUAGAGGGGGGUAGAAUUCCAGGUGUAGCGGUGAAAUGCGUAGAGAUCUGGAGGAAUACCGGUGGCGAAGGCGGCCCCCCUGGACGAAGACUGACGCUCAGGUGCG
RNAcentral lists this ribosomal RNA (409 nucleotides) under uncultured bacterium. RNAcentral's name for it is "partial 16S ribosomal RNA". It matches the Rfam family "Bacterial small subunit ribosomal RNA", at positions 355 to 755 of the family's 1533-position model. The record is from RNAcentral.